This 397-nucleotide long non-coding RNA is filed under the name Monodelphis domestica (gray short-tailed opossum). RNAcentral's name for it is "lncRNA (ENSMODG00000050081.1)". The record is from RNAcentral. Lineage: Eukaryota; Metazoa; Chordata; Mammalia; Didelphimorphia; Didelphidae.
GGCUGUCUUCCCAUGGCAGAGAACAUAUCCAAAAGGAUAAAAAAUAGGUUUAUGGCUUCAUGGAAUAAGUCAUCGUGUUAAUUGGAAAAAGUUAGAAGUUGAUGUAUCCUUUGAAGCUGGACUUAGUCCAGAGGAGGUGGCAGAAGAUCCUGCCAAGGCCUUUCCAGGAGUCAUUCCAGCAAUCCUAUCUUUACCUUACCUGACCACCAACAUCAUAAAUGGGUGGAAUUUGCAGAAAGCUGUAUAUAUGUUUAGGGAAUGGCAGUUACUUGAAUCAGUAUACAUAGUGCUGGACUUGGGGUCAAGAAUACCUGACUGUUCCACCCAUGGCCAAACUGUUUUGGAGUUGGAAGAGACUCAUCAAGAAAAUCAACUCAGAAUUUGCCAGGAGAGGUGA